This 253-nucleotide ribosomal RNA is filed under the name uncultured bacterium. RNAcentral's name for it is "partial 16S ribosomal RNA". It matches the Rfam family "Bacterial small subunit ribosomal RNA", at positions 524 to 776 of the family's 1533-position model. The record is from RNAcentral.
UACAGGGGGGGCAAGCGUUGUUCGGAAUUACUGGGCGUAAAGGGCUCGUAGGUGGCCAACUAAGUCAGACGUGAAAUCCCUCAGCUUAACUGGGGAACUGCGUCCGAUACUGGAUGGCUUGAGUUUGGGAGAGGGAUGCGGAAUUCCAGGUGUAGCGGUGAAAUGCGUAGAUAUCUGGAGGAACACCGGUGGCGAAGGCGGCAUCCUGGACCAAUACUGACACUGAGGAGCGAAAGCCAGGGGAGCAAACGGG